RNAcentral lists this non-coding RNA (209 nucleotides) under Desulfosporosinus orientis. RNAcentral describes it as "T-box sequence". It matches the Rfam family "T-box leader". Rfam says of the family: Uncharged tRNA acts as the effector for transcription antitermination of genes in the T-box leader family. T-boxes are found upstream of many aminoacyl-tRNA synthetase genes and some amino acid biosynthetic genes usually in Gram-positive bacteria. The anticodon of a specific tRNA base pairs to a specifier sequence within the T-box motif, and the NCCA acceptor tail of the tRNA base pairs to a conserved bulge in the T-box antiterminator hairpin. The record is from RNAcentral. Lineage: Bacteria; Bacillati; Bacillota; Clostridia; Eubacteriales; Desulfitobacteriaceae.
UCAGACACGUUGAAAAGGACAGUCUUUGUUGAGCAAUCUCUGCAGCGAGCGGGAAGCGGUGUGAGCCCGUGAGGUGUAACAAAGAAAAUCACCUUGGAGUGAAGGGCUGAAAGUUUUAGUAAGCUUUAUUCGGUUUGUCUCCGUUAACGACUUCCGAGUGGCAUAAUAUGGCUACAAGGGUGGUACCGCGAGUAGAUCUCGUCCCUUAU